RNAcentral lists this transfer RNA (73 nucleotides) under Neotoma lepida (desert woodrat). It matches the Rfam family "tRNA". Rfam says of the family: Transfer RNA (tRNA) molecules are approximately 80 nucleotides in length. The record is from Rfam by way of RNAcentral. Lineage: Eukaryota; Metazoa; Chordata; Mammalia; Rodentia; Cricetidae.
AGCUCCAUAGUGUAGUGGUUAUUACCUCUGCUUUACAUGCAGAAGGCCCUGGGUUCAAGCCUCAGUAGAACCA